ACUGCUACAGCCAGUGUUCUAUUAUUUAAAACAAGUAGAUGUUUUGGUCAAAUUUGAUCACGACAUUGAGAUAAUGAACAAGCUCAAAACAGAUCAGCUGACUGCUCUGAAGAGACGACACUUGAAAUUACUUAAAGCACUCUUCUACCUAAGAGACAGAAGAUGGUUUUCUUAUUCUCCAGUCAUCCUGCAAAGUCCUGCAUGAAAUAAACUACUGCAACCUACAGGUAUCAUAGAAACAUUUCAGUCAAGAGCGCAAGCUCCACUUUUGCCCCUAUGCUUUUUAUGCUAAUAUGCAUGAUUUAAGGAAUGACAGCAAGGAGACUGGAUAGCUUAAGGUGUAGUUGAUUGGAUGCUGAUGGUCUAGCUGUUGUUUUGGUAGCUACUUUUAUAUAUUGUAAAGGAAUUGACCAUGCAGCAUCAUUCUCCUGCUACCUCAACUUGUGGCUGAAUCUAACAGCUUAACCCUGAUGGUUUCAACCCUCCAUUUAGCUCAUUUGGUCAAAUAAGGCUGGUGGUAACUGAAAGCUGUGACCAGCUGAUGUCUAUGUUGAUGGUAUGUGGAAAUCCCCUUUGUGGACUCAGAUCAAAUUUUACUGAUAAAAUCUCACUAUCAUCUCCAAGCAAAUUCCUCCAAAAUAAAUGCUAACUCAAGGCUCUGGGGCAACCACAGGUUUAAAGACAAAGAGGGUGUACUUGUCUCUUCCCUAGAAGUAUUGUCUGUAUGCCAGCAAUGAAGUGAAAAGAAGCACAUUUGUGUCAGCACCACCCAGGCUGUCAAUAAGGAACUCCUGCCCUCAGAACUAUCAAAUCAAAUUCAUAUGAACUUCCCACUCUUCCAAAACCACUUUCCCACAGGGAAGAAGAGAUCACAAAAUUAAACAGCAUUCCCUUCUUCUCACAUCUUUGUAAUCUGCAAGCACUGUGCAUGUCAUAGUGUUCCCAGGAGGUUUCCUUAACCAUAAUGUCUCAUCUCUGCAAACAAACAGCUGCUUCCCUUUUGCACAAGAGUUCUUGGAGACAUACUUCACUUAUCAGAACUAAACCACUGAAAAGCUGGUAAAUAACCAAGUCCUGCUGGAAAGAUGAAAUCGUACUGUAGAUAGAUGGAUUUGCUUAACCUAUAAAAUAAUUCUGGAAUAGCUGUUGUUUUGGCAAAAUUCUAAAAUGUAACAAAGUUUGAUUGUUCUUGGCUUCUCCUAAUUUGCUUACUUUGGGGCAAUAGCUGACUUUCAAUAUGCAUGUUGGUCUCAUUACUGUUAAGUAAAAUAUACACACAUGUAUCUAAGAGAGGUUUGACCAUUUACUGUCAGUGUUCCAAGGUUAGCUGAAGUCUGGACCUUUUACUUUCUCUGUGCUCCACUAAUUGAGACCAAAGCUUAUGCAAGACUUCCUUGGGGAACACAGGGUCUGAGGUUUUUACAGUCCACAAGGCUAAAAUUCAAAUAUGAACCACAGCUGUUUGGAUGGAAGUCCUGGACCUCUUCCUUUUGAACUAUAGUGACCUGUUCAGCCUUGCCAUCAUGUGAAACUCUGAAAUCCCUGCACAGCUGAUGACUGGGAUGUGAAAAUUGCCUGCCAAGCAGACCUGGAUAAAGUGAUGGGUUUACAGUGCUCUGGGAUUUGCAGGUGGAAGGACUGCUCUCACUUUCCUCUGCUAGCCUUUUCCCCUCCAUUUCUGUACAUAUCAUUUCUUUGUAUAUAUGUGCAGAUUUGAUUCCACAUUCACCAUCCAACCAGAUGAAUUGAUGUUCUUAUUGAAGAUGGUGAAGUUCUUCCCUUCUGCCAAGUACAGUUAUUUUUAUGAGUCCCCAGUAAGAGGUAAAUUAAGAUAAAUAGGGUGUGGGAUAAACUAGUCAAUCAAUUCAAAUAGGGAUAGACCUCCAGUGUCCUAACACUUCUUAAAUACUUUGUCUUCACUUGGCGGUACUCUAUCUUAAUUGAGGACCUUAAUUAAACCAGGACAAACAAGCAUGGCCUUUUCCUACUGUGGACUGUCGUAUGAAGAUAUUUGUGAAAGGGUGGAGUAAACAUUUUUGCGGAUCACACUGCAAGAGGAGACAUAUGGGAACACACUGUGAUGAGAAAGGAAAUCAUUUGUUGCUCCAAAGACAAUGUGAUUGGCAUUGUGAGCUCAGAUGCAUGCAGACAAGCAAGGUGAAAAAUCAAGAUUGAAGCAGAAUGAAAUGCUCCUUUCUUCAGUAAGUCAGCGGGAGUCAUAAAUACUUCUGUUUCAGCUAGGAAAGCUACAAAAAUGAGCUAAAUCAUGAUUCUGUUUCCAUGCUAAUGCACGCAUUUUGAAGUAAUAUGCAUAAAAGUGCCUUCCUUUUGGCAUAUCUGCAAUGACAUAAAUAUUCAGAUAUAUACUAAUAAGUAAUUUUCAAGAAGUUCAAAAUGAUAGGCUGCAUGACAGCUAUUUAAGGGGACAGGCAGCCCACCUUCCAGUGCCCACAAUGACUUGAAUCAAGUUGUAGAAGAAGGUGCUUCUGGAAAUCAAUGGUGAAUCUUACAUUCCCUUGCAUUUUGAAUCCAAAUUCAUUAUUUCAUUAACACUAUUAAUUAUAUAACAAUUAAUCAUAUAAUAAUCAUAAAAAUAAUUAUAUAAUAACGAUGUCCAAAUGAAUAAUAAGCUUUUUCAAUAUUAAUGACUGCCUAAUAAACAAGGCAAAGGAGAUCUUGAUCUGGUUUGGUCUAUCCUUACACAUUCAUUUUACUAUGGCAAAGCACAUUAAAUAGUAUGGAAUGUAUAAAAAAGGCACUAUUCCAUAUCUAUCGUUAUCCUGAAAGUCUUUGUGUGUCCAAGGUAAUAGGAAUUCCCACAUUCAUGCUUACUAUAAAAUACAGCAAGCAAAAGCUACAUAAAUUCUGUUUAAUAUGGAAAUAAUUUUGCUGCAUCUUUGGCUUUGUAUGACAUGGAAACUGGUGAUUGUUUAUGCUUUGCUACUUUUUUUGGUCUGCAUUAAAAUCCCACAUGAGAAACAAAUUUUUCUCUAGGAACAAAAUGUUACUUUUUUGGGACUGCAUUCUAAUAAGUUGGGUAGUACGUCUGCUUCUUUUCAGCUGGGAAAUUGCAAUGCAUAUAAAAUCCAGAUGGAUAGCACAUGAGGCUGGAAGCAGCUUUGGCCAAUCAGCCACGUCACUUGAUUAAAAGAAACCUAUAAUAAUUUAAGUAAAAAUAGAACCCCAACAAAGUAACAGAGCACCAAACUGGCUGCAGCAUGAGAUUUCAUCACAAUUCUAUUACUGAUGUACUUUUGCUAAUUGGCCCUUUCAUACCUUAUUGUAAAUUAACAUAUUUGCAUUAAGCAUGCAUGGAACUUGUGAUUAAUGCCCAAAAUAUCAGUGAUGGAGGAUACAUGAUAAGCAGUAUGAGGGGGGAAAUUCAACAUCAGACUACAGAGGGCCACAAGGACCUAUUGCUCUUAGGGCAAUGGUGCACUUAAAGAACUCAGCUGAGAGUGUUGCCAUGAGAAAACAUUGACCCCGGCAUGAGCCACACUAGUGAAGACCAGUACUUAGAAUCAUGGAAUCACUCAGGUUAGAAAAGACCUUAACGGUCAAGUCCAACCACAAUGUAACCAUACUACCCCAAAUCCAUACUUUUUGUAUGGAACUUGUAUGUGUCUAUCAGAAGGCAAGUAAGCACAUAUUAGCGCAAUUACAAGGUCAUUCUGCAGAAAAACUCCUGAGUAUCCCAUGAGAUUCAGCAGACUUGUGGGCAAGUUUGUCUAAGGCAGCUUGUGAAGAAGUCACAGGCAGGACUUGCAGAGGGAUGGAGCCACAUCUGGAAUCCCUAUGGGCAAUUGGAGGAAUGUUUAUUAUUCUUUGUUUAUUAUUUUGAGUGUGUACUCUCCCUCUUCCUUUCUUUGUCUCUCUUUGUUAUUUGUGUAAUAAAAUUCCUCUAGGCAUACAAAGUAAGUAAGUCAUCUGGAAUUGUGCAGUUCCCUCUGCCAGGAAGCUGGAAAAGCCUCUCUCUCUCGUGCAGAGAAAAAAAUAUGGGCUCAUCUCAAACACUGAGAAAUUACAGAAACAUUCACCAUUUGCCUUUGAGUUAUAUUUACGUAGAAAAGAACUGUGGUAAAUACAUGUGCUUCUUCCUAUGAAAAAUAAAAAAGACUUUUAUUCUGCCCAAGGUGAUGUGUUUAUUCAAAAGUUGUUGAGAAAUAAUUUGUACCAUUCUAAAAUCAAGCAGGCAAAAUACAUUAAAAAGGUCCAGUGACAAAGUAUGGUUUUGGUUUUUUUUGCCAGUGUGUGCGGAGAAGGAAAAGGAAAUAAGUAGAGAGGAGUGUCUUUAUGGCCACAUGGCUAGUGAAAAUUUCUAUUUAUUCUUUGGGGAAAAAGCAAAGUAGCUGCAUAGUUGAUGGUUGGAUAGGUGCCGGGACUAUUUUUAUUGGCAGGCAGCUCUGAGUGGCUGAAAGGUGGUCAUUAACACCCUGACACAAAGUGCUGACAGGGCGAUUAUAAGAUUAACACCCUAUGUUAUAUUAACAGUGUCAAAAACUCCCUGUACCUGUCAGUGAGAAAUAAUGGCAUGAAGGAAAACAUUAUAGACAUGCUGAGAUUUUAACAUUGGAAUACCAUGCGGCUAUUCAUGUUUUGAAAUUGAUCUAAAUAUCUAGGUGACCUAAUGAAGGCUCAUAAAAUAAUGUGAUUUAAAUGGUAGCUUCACCAAAUCAAAAAAUGAAGGCAAAAGUGAAGAUGCCCAGCUUGCUCACUCUGUUGUUGACACUUUUAGCCCUGGUCUCCCUGGCAGAGGGUCUCUCACAACUGCUGCCUUUUGGUAGAGUUAUGGUUUGAGAUCUCAUAAAUUUAGGAUUUUACCUUAGGACUUGACAAAAACAGAGCUUUUCUGGAGAAUAUUAUUACUGAUGCAAAUGGCAAAAUUCAGCCUUGGUCUUCCUCCAAGAUUGCUAGUCAUCAUAGGCUGGUUUUAUCAGUGAGAGCCUUAGGACCAUAAGGACUAAUCUGCAUUUAAAAAGUCUUUGCUCCAUGUUCACUAGAACUGGAACAGCAAACCCUCUAGCAUAGCUGUAGAGAGUGGCUGAGGGAAAUGGAAUUGUUCAUUCUGGAGAUGGGGAGGCUCAGGGAAGACCUAAUCACUCUCCACAGCUGCCUGAAAGGAGGUUGUGGAGAGAUGGGGGUCAGCCUCUUCUCCCUGGUAUCAGUUAUAGGAUGAGAGCGAAGAGAAAAACACCCAAUCAAGUGACCUUGCCAGGAGUUCUAUCUCCUCUCUGACCACAAAGCCCCCCUGGGGAAUGCAGUUCUUCUCUUCCAGACAGGUACCCGGAACUGGAGCAUUAACAC
This is a non-coding RNA of Coturnix japonica (Japanese quail), 5304 nucleotides long. The record is from RefSeq and is a predicted model, not a curated record. NCBI's taxonomy places the organism in Eukaryota, Metazoa, Chordata, Aves, Galliformes, Phasianidae.